RNAcentral lists this ribosomal RNA (213 nucleotides) under uncultured bacterium. RNAcentral's name for it is "partial 16S ribosomal RNA". It matches the Rfam family "Bacterial small subunit ribosomal RNA", at positions 1285 to 1500 of the family's 1533-position model. The record is from RNAcentral.
UACUCAGUCAGAUGCAGGCUGCAACCCGCCUGCAUGAAGUCGGAAUUGCUAGUAAUCGCGGAUCAGCAUGCCGCGGUGAAUACGUUCCCGGGCCUUGUACACACCGCCCGUCACACCAUGGGAGCCGGUAAUACCCGAAGUCAGUAGUCCAACCUCGUGAGGACGCUGCCGAAGGUAGGAUUGGCGACUGGGGUGAAGUCGUAACAAGGUAGC